GGAAGACUUACGGGGACUGGCCGUUUGAGUCUAGCUUGCUGGGUCGGGCAGACUUCCUAGAGGCUAGGGCAGCCACGCGUCCCACAUCCCCCCGCUGCACUGCCUCCAGCAGCUUCUGAUCACGGCGGUUCCAUCUCUCCACCUGGUCCGGAGCCACAAAUUGUCUUGCUCAAGCAAACUGAACCAACCUGAGCACUGCUAAUCGGGUUCACAUUAACUACCACCUCCCCUUGCUGCUCUACCUGCUUUUGUCCUUAGUUAACUGUUGGAGAAGUAAAUGAAGGCACCUAUUUUCGGGUCACAGUAUUACAGGGCAUGAAAGAGAGAGCCAUGUAAAAACAGCCAGGAGUGAAAGUACAGAAAACCUGGUGGUUAGAGAGGGGAAAAGAAGAAUGGAUGAAAGCAAAGAUCUUUGGGAUGGCGUAUUUUGUCAGUUGGACUGAGUUUGGGACCAAUCUGGCUUAGCUGUGUGACCUAGCGCAAGCCAUUAAACACCUCUAACCUGUUUUCUCAUCGCUAAAGUGAGUAGUAAUAACUCUCUCAUUAUGUUAUGAGUAUUGAAUAAAUAAAUAUCUAUAAAAUCUCUUUCUAAACUGUAAAGUCACAGAAAUGCAUGGCAUCCUUAUAACAAUACAGGAAAUAGUAAGAAAUUGGUGGUGGGACCUUAUGUUUUAUGAGAUAUAAUGUCAAUAAGAAAGAGGUUAUAAGAGGAGGUGAAGAAAAAUGGGGUUUGUGGAAGCCCAGUAAUUCAUGUUCAAAUACUGUUUAUACAACCAGGGCAAAUUAUUAAUUAAUUAACUGGAAAGAUUUAAAUACCCAAAACAUAAAAUUAUCUAGGGCAGAUGCAUGUUGAGGUUAUUACUCCUGUACAGCACUUGUAACUCCUCAUGGUCUUUCAAGUACUAUUUCUAUUAGAC
Long non-coding RNA from Heterocephalus glaber (naked mole-rat), 917 nucleotides. RefSeq lists it as uncharacterized. Lineage: Eukaryota; Metazoa; Chordata; Mammalia; Rodentia; Bathyergidae. The record is from RefSeq and is a predicted model, not a curated record.